Molecule: ribosomal RNA, 102 nt
Filed under: Paraburkholderia atlantica
Lineage: Bacteria; Pseudomonadati; Pseudomonadota; Betaproteobacteria; Burkholderiales; Burkholderiaceae
Description: Paraburkholderia sp. CNPSo 3155 partial 16S ribosomal RNA
Rfam family: Bacterial small subunit ribosomal RNA
Source: RNAcentral
UAACCGCAAGGAGGACGGUCACCACGGUAGGAUUCAUGACUGGGGUGAAGUCGUAACAAGGUAGCCGUAUCGGAAGGUGCGGCUGGAUCACCUCCUUUCCAG